CUAGCUACAGGCUUAACACAUGCAAGUCGAGGGGCAGCAUUUUAGUUUGCUUGCAAACUGAAGAUGGCGACCGGCGCACGGGUGAGUAACACGUAUCCAACCUGCCGAUAACUCCGGGAUAGCCUUUCGAAAGAAAGAUUAAUACCGGAUAGCAUACGAAUAUCGCAUGAUAUUUUUAUUAAAGAAUUUCGGUUAUCGAUGGGGAUGCGUUCCAUUAGUUUGUUGGCGGGGUAACGGCCCACCAAGACUACGAUGGAUAGGGGUUCUGAGAGGAAGGUCCCCCACAUUGGAACUGAGACACGGUCCAAACUCCUACGGGAGGCAGCAGUGAGGAAUAUUGGUCGAUGGGCGAGAGCCUGAACCAGCCAAGUAGCGUGAAGGAUGAAGGCUCUAUGGGUCGUAAACUUCUUUUAUAUGGGAAUAAAGUUUUCCACGUGUGGAAUUUUGUAUGUACCAUAUGAAUAAGGAUCGGCUAACUCCGUGCCAGCAGCCGCGGUAAUACGGAGGAUCCGAGCGUUAUCCGGAUUUAUUGGGUUUAAAGGGAGCGUAGGUGGAUUGUUAAGUCAGUUGUGAAAGUUUGCGGCUCAACCGUAAAAUUGCAGUUGAAACUGGCAGUCUUGAGUACAGUAGAGGUGGGCGGAAUUCGUGGUGUAGCGGUGAAAUGCUUAGAUAUCACGAAGAACUCCGAUUGCGAAGACAGCUCACUAGACUGUCACUGACACUGAUGCUCGAAAGUGUGGGUAUCAAACAGGAUUAGAUACCCUGGUAGUCCACACAGUAAACGAUGAAUACUCGCUGUUUGCGAUAUACAGUAAGCGGCCAAGCGAAAGCAUUAAGUAUUCCACCUGGGGAGUACGCCGGCAACGGUGAAACUCAAAGGAAUUGACGGGGGCCCGCACAAGCGGAGGAACAUGUGGUUUAAUUCGAUGAUACGCGAGGAACCUUACCCGGGCUUAAAUUGCAACAGAAUAUAUUGGAAACAGUAUAGCCGUAAGGCUGUUGUGAAGGUGCUGCAUGGUUGUCGUCAGCUCGUGCCGUGAGGUGUCGGCUUAAGUGCCAUAACGAGCGCAACCCUUAUCUUUAGUUACUAACAGGUUAUGCUGAGGACUCUAGAGAGACUGCCGUCGUAAGAUGUGAGGAAGGUGGGGAUGACGUCAAAUCAGCACGGCCCUUACGUCCGGGGCUACACACGUGUUACAAUGGGGGGUACAGAAGGCGGCUACCUGGUGACAGGAUGCUAAUCCCAAAAACCUCUCUCAGUUCGGAUCGAAGUCUGCAACCCGACUUCGUGAAGCUGGAUUCGCUAGUAAUCGCGCAUCAGCCAUGGCGCGGUGAAUACGUUCCCGGGCCUUGUACACACCGCCCGUCAAGCCAUGAAAGCCGGGGGUACCUGAAGUACGUAACCGCAAGGAGCGUCCUAGGGUAAAACUGGUAAUUGGGGCUAAG
Molecule: ribosomal RNA, 1446 nt
Filed under: uncultured organism
Description: 16S ribosomal RNA
Rfam family: Bacterial small subunit ribosomal RNA
Source: RNAcentral